Molecule: ribosomal RNA, 497 nt
Filed under: uncultured bacterium
Lineage: Bacteria
Description: partial 16S ribosomal RNA
Rfam family: Bacterial small subunit ribosomal RNA
Source: RNAcentral
GAUGAACGCUGGCGGCGUGCCUAAUACAUGCAAGUCGAGCGAACAGACGAGGAGCUUGCUCCUCUGACGUUAGCGGCGGACGGGUGAGUAACACGUGGAUAACCUACCUAUAAGACUGGGAUAACUUCGGGAAACCGGAGCUAAUACCGGAUAAUAUAUUGAACCGCAUGGUUCAAUAGUGAAAGACGGUUUUGCUGUCACUUAUCGAUCGAUCCGCGCCGCAUUAGCUAGUUGGUAAGGUAACGGCUUACCAAGGCGACGAUGCGUAGCCGACCUGAGAGGGUGAUCAGCCACACUGGAACUGAGACACGGUCCAGACUCCUACGGGAGGCAGCAGUAGGGAAUCUUCCGCAAUGGGCGAAAGCUUGACGGAGCAACGCCGCGUGAGUGAUGAAGGUCUUCGGAUCGUAAAACUCUGUUAUUAGGGAAGAACAAAUGUGUAAGUAACUAUGCACGUCUUGACGGUACCUAAUCAGAAAGCCACGGCUAACUACGUG